RNAcentral lists this long non-coding RNA (237 nucleotides) under Prunus dulcis (almond). Its description in RNAcentral is "sRNA ncRNA". The record is from RNAcentral. Lineage: Eukaryota; Viridiplantae; Streptophyta; Magnoliopsida; Rosales; Rosaceae.
AUGAACUGCAUCAGAGGUCUGAAGAAGGUGGACUUACUUGUCAGCAACCCAAUAAAGAUUUCAGAGACCUCGAUCCCGAGAUCUAGUAUGCAGCGGUAUCACAACACUGCUUCCAUACUUCUCCCACUUGGCUUUAUUGGUUUAUCUUUGCCUAUAGUAGUCCAUGGCUAUCUUAUUCAAAUUACACUUUAUUGCUCUCAAGGAUGUUACUUGACCAUCUUUUAUUCAAGUAAAUAG